Molecule: transfer RNA, 72 nt
Filed under: Anaeramoeba flamelloides
Lineage: Eukaryota; Anaeramoebidae
Description: tRNA-Ala
Rfam family: tRNA
About the family: Transfer RNA (tRNA) molecules are approximately 80 nucleotides in length. Their secondary structure includes four short double-helical elements and three loops (D, anti-codon, and T loops).
Source: RNAcentral
GGGUAAAUAGCGAAGUGGUAUCGCGUUUCAUUUGCAUUGAGGAGGCCCGGAGUUCGAUUCUCCGUUUAUCCA